AGAGGUGGGUCCUCCGCCCACCACGUGCAGUGCCACCCACCCGCAGAUGAUGCUGGGUCUUCACCACCCAACCAAAACCACAACGUGAAUUUGCAACAGGGGAGGAAAAAAGAACCAAAACUUCCAAGGCCCUGCUUUUUUUUUUUUUUCUUAAAAGUAAUUUGAAAAAGGUAAAUUUGUUUGUAUUUUUAUUUACAUUUUAUAUUUUUGUACAUAUUGUUAGGGGUCAGCCAUUUUUAAUGAUCUCCGAUGACCAAACCAACCUUUGGAGCGUUCUCUGUCCUACUUCUGACUUUACUUGUGGUGUGACCAUGUUCAUUAUAAUCUCAAAGGAGAAAAAAAAAAUAACCUUGUAAAAAAACCAAAAACAACAACAAUAAAAAAAUCCGUAUUCCGAGCAUUCCAGUAACUUUUUUUGUGUAUGUACUUUAGCUGUACUAUAAAUAGUUGGUUUGUAUGAGAUGGUUAAAAAGGCCAAAGAUAAAAAGGUUUUUUUUUCUUUUUUUGUCUUUGAAGUUGCUGUUUAUUUUUUUGACCUGUUUGAUGUAUGUGUGAAAUAACGUUGUCCAACAAUAAACCAG
RNAcentral lists this long non-coding RNA (581 nucleotides) under Marmota monax (woodchuck). The record is from RNAcentral. Lineage: Eukaryota; Metazoa; Chordata; Mammalia; Rodentia; Sciuridae.